UCUGAAGAAGAGGAAUAAUAAUUGAACACACGUUUUGUUUUGUUUUUGUUCUUACUCGCCAACUUCUUGUCGGAUCUUUGCAGAAAAACAAAAAAAAAAAAAAAA
RNAcentral lists this non-coding RNA (105 nucleotides) under Stygamoeba regulata. The record is from RNAcentral. Lineage: Eukaryota; Discosea; Stygamoebida.